CCGGCGUCCCCGGGGGACCCCCGCGCCCCACGGAGCUGCCCCCGGGGAAGCGGCGGCUGCACCUGGCGGAGCCGACAGCAGGGAACAAAAACUUGGGGGUUUAUUUCUUUUUUUUUUUUUUCCCCCUCGUUUAGGUUCCGUAUCGGAGCAGGCUGGAAGGCUGCCGUAUACUCAGGCGUGUAAGAAGAUUAUGUCAGCAGCGGGCAGAGGACUACUGGAAGGAAAGUCCAGGAUCUGAGCAUGGGAAGAUCCCACGGUCCCAGAUUCAACUCAUUCAUUUUCUAAGACACUUGGAUAAACGCAGUCUCAUCCAGAGAGUGCCCAGCCAGCCAGCACAGCCUCUUCAAAAUCUUCAGUUCCUGAAUCCCCAGCUUCCUUCACUGAAGGCAGAAGAAAGUGCCUAGCGUUCUCCAAGAUAGCGCUCAUUUUAGUGAGGCACAGAAAUAUCAUCCUGCAUCCAUUCCCAGAACAAAGCCACAUCUUUUAGUGCCGUUUCGCUUGCAUUUAAGUUCUGUAUAAGGGAUAAUGGCAGUUUUUCUUGAUGCUUUAAUUUCAAAUCAAGAAAAUGUUUCUUUUUUUAGUUCUGAAAAGCAACAGCCGGAAGCUUAAGACGUUUGAAACUUCUCUUGGGGUACAUGUCAUUUUCUAAAGGUGUAUUUGAAUAUAGAAAAGAUUUGUCAGAUGAUCAAAUGAGGUGGACGUUAUGGAAGGUAGAAUAAAUUGUUAUUAUAGAGAAUUGCGUUUUCUUUU
RNAcentral lists this long non-coding RNA (750 nucleotides) under Struthio camelus australis. RNAcentral's name for it is "lncRNA (ENSSCUG00000003508.1)". Lineage: Eukaryota; Metazoa; Chordata; Aves; Struthioniformes; Struthionidae. The record is from RNAcentral.